This 756-nucleotide ribosomal RNA is filed under the name uncultured bacterium. RNAcentral describes it as "bacterial SSU rRNA". It matches the Rfam family "Bacterial small subunit ribosomal RNA", at positions 556 to 1316 of the family's 1533-position model. The record is from RNAcentral.
GGGCGUAAAGCGUACGUAGGCGGUCUAUUAAGUCAGUGGUAAAAUCUCAGGGCUCAACUCUGAACCUGCCACUGAAACUGCUAGACUAGAGGCUGGAAGAGGUAAGUGGAAUUGCCGGUGUAGGGGUCAAAUCCGUUAAUAUCGGCAGGAACACCAAAUGCGAAGGCAACUUACUAGAACAGUCCUGACGCUAAGGUACGAAAGCGUGGGUAGCGAAUGGGAUUAGAUACCCCAGUAGUCCACGCCGUAAACGAUGGAUACUAGACAUUGGAAGUAUCGACCCUUUCAGUGUCGGUGAACCAAGCUAACGCAUUAAGUAUCCCGCCUGGGGAGUACGGCCGCAAGGCUAAAACUCAAAGGAAUUGACGGGGACCCGCACAAGCGGUGGAGCACGUGGUUUAAUUCGAUGAUACGCGAGGAACCUUACCAAGGCUUGACAUCUAGCUGCAAGCUCUAAGAAACUAGAGCCGCCUUCGAGGGUGCUAGACAGAUGUUGCAUGGUUGCCGUCAGCUCGUGCCGUGAGGUGUACAGUUAAGUCUGGAAACGAGCGCAACCCCUACCCUUAUUUGUAUCUUUAUAAGGGAACUGCCGUGUACAACACGGAGGAAGGUGGGGACGACGUCAAAUCAGCAUGGCUCUUACGCCUUGGGCGACACACAUGCUACAAUGGCCAGUACAAAGGGCAGCCAAACCGCAAGGUGGAGCUAAUCCCAUUCAAAACUGGUCUCAGUUCGGAUUGAGGUCUGCAACUCGAC